CCUACGGGUGGCAGCAGUGGGGAAUAUUGGACAAUGGGGGGAACCCUGAUCCAGCCAUGCCGCGUGUGUGAAGAAGGCCCUCGGGUUGUAAAGCACUUUCAGUGAGGAAGAACGCCUGGUGGUUAAUACCCAUCAGGAAAGACAUCACUCACAGAAGAAGCACCGGUUAACUCCGUGCCAGCAGCCGCGGUAAUACGGAGGGUGCGAGCGUUAAUCGGAAUUACUGGGCGUAAAGCGCGCGUAGGUGGCUUGAUAAGCCGGUUGUGAAAGCCCCGGGCUCAACCUGGGAACGGCAUCCGGAACUGUCAAGCUAGAGUGCAGGAGAGGAAGGUAGAAUUCCCGGUGUAGCGGUGAAAUGCGUAGAGAUCGGGAGGAAUACCAGUGGCGAAGGCGGCCUUCUGGACUGACACUGACACUGAGGUGCGAAAGCGUGGGUAGCAAACAGGAUUAGAUACCCUAGUAGUC
This 465-nucleotide ribosomal RNA is filed under the name Vreelandella stevensii. Its description in RNAcentral is "partial 16S ribosomal RNA". It matches the Rfam family "Bacterial small subunit ribosomal RNA", at positions 338 to 795 of the family's 1533-position model. The record is from RNAcentral. Lineage: Bacteria; Pseudomonadati; Pseudomonadota; Gammaproteobacteria; Oceanospirillales; Halomonadaceae.